RNAcentral lists this ribosomal RNA (437 nucleotides) under Pacifastacus connectens. RNAcentral's name for it is "partial 16S ribosomal RNA". It matches the Rfam family "Bacterial large subunit ribosomal RNA", at positions 1854 to 2557 of the family's 2925-position model. The record is from RNAcentral. Lineage: Eukaryota; Metazoa; Arthropoda; Malacostraca; Decapoda; Astacidae.
UAACCUGCCCAUUGGGUUCUAAAAGGCCGCGGUAUUAUGACCGUGCAAAGGUAGCAUAAUCAUUAGUCUUUUAAUUGAAGGCUAGAAUGAAUGGUUGGACAAGAAAUAAUCUGUCUUAAGUUAAUAUAUUGAAUUUAACUUUUAAGUGAAAAGGCUUAAAUUUUCUAGAGUGACGAUAAGACCCUAUAAAACUUUAUAUUUUAAAAUAAUAAUUAGUUUUAUUUAAGAAUUUUAUUUAAAAAUAUUUUAUUGGGGUGAUAAAGAUAUAAAUUUAAAUAACUGUCUUCUUUUUUUACAAUAAUAUUUGAAUUAAUGAUCCUAAGAAAGGAGUAAAAGAUCAAGUUACUUUAGGGAUAACAGCGUAAUUUUUUUUAAGAGUUCAUAUCGACAAGAAAGUUUGCGACCUCGAUGUUGAAUUAAAAAAUCUUUAUAGAGCA